GAAGCUGAACACCUGGAAAACCUGGAUGCAGUCCUUGGACGACUGGAGCAGUUUGGUUUGCAUAAAAAAAAAAAAGGGAAAUGUGACUUUUUCAAGGAAUCACUAGAAUACCUGGGUCACUUAAUUGAUGCAGAAGGUUUGCACAAGUCACCUCAAAAAGUACAUGGAAUUGUCAAUGCACCAAUUCCAUCAAACAUCACACAGCUGAGAUCAUUUCUAGGCCUGUUAAACUAUUACGGGAGAUUCAUACCCAAUCUGGCAAACAUCAACUUAUGGCAUUGGUGCCAUCAUUUCCCACAUGCUACCCAGCGGUGAAGAAAGCCAAUAACUUUUGCGUCCCGCACACUUAGCAAGGCAGAACAGAAUUAUGCACAGAUUGAGCGCGAGGCUCUGGCCAUAGUGUUUGGGGUCAGAAAAUUCCAUCAAUAUCUCUACGGACGGAAAUUCAAGCUUUUCACGGAUCACCGGCCCCUUACUACGAUCUUUGGGCCACAAAAAGGAAUUCCGACUAUGGCGGCAGCGCGGAUGCAAAGGUGGGCAUUACUUUUGUCUGCGCACAACUAUACAAUAGAGUACAAAAGAGCUGAGCAUCAUGCAAAUGCUGAUGGUCUUUCCCGUCUGCCGUUACAUGUAGAGCACAGUGAGAAAACGGAUGCAGUAGAGCUAUUUUACGUCGAACAGAUGGAGAAACUCCCUGUCAGUGCCACGGAUAUCCGACGUGAGACUGUGAGUAACUCAACCUUGUCUACAUUCAUCGAAAUAGUCAUAAAAGGGACCCAAGCUGUCAACCUGACUAGUAAUAAUGAACUCUCACCUUUCAUCUCCAAACGCACUGAGUUGUCCGUCCAACACGGGUGCUUAAUGCGGGGCAUGAGAGUUGUUGUUCCCCUUAAGCUGCGGAAAAGAGUACUGGAGGAACUGCACACUGUCCAUCCACUUUCCUGAAGGCCAACCAUGUGAAGCAUAUCCAUUCAGCCCCAUAUCAUCCAGCAACCAAUGGGCAGGCUGAAAGGUUUGUUCAGUUGCUAAAACAAGCAUUGAAGAUGUCUAAGGGCUCUUCUACUCUUCAGAGACGGCUGGAAACAUUCUUGCUAACGUAUCGCAACACACCACAUCCAACGACUAGACAGGCCCCUUCUUUGUUGUUUUUGGGACGACAACUGCGCACAUGGCUGGAUGCCUUGAAACCCAGUGUGACAGCUACCGUGCGACUCUCACAGACCUUUCAGGUCCUCCGCCGUGCUGGUCUUUCGAAACCAAGACAGUUUGGAGUUGGCGAUGCAGUGCUGGCUCGUGAUUACAGAGGGAGAGAAAGAUGGACAUCAGGUGUGGUGACGGCUCAAAGUGGUCCAGUAUCUUAUACUGUGGAUGUAGGAGCUUUUGCGGAAUGGCGACGCCAUGCUGAUCAACUCUUGUCCAUUCCGAAUCAAACAGCUGAAACUCAGGUGACACAACCACCUGACAUCAGUGAUGUAUCUGUUCCUGUACAGACCUCUGUAAAUGACACUUCUUCAGCACCACCAACCAGGGAACAGGAUAUUAACAGUGACACAUCAGAGUCUCAGAUAAAUCAUGGCAAACUCAACAUUUUAUCAGUGCAGGUCAGACGUUAUCCAGCCAGAGUGAUUAAAUCGUCCAACCGUCUGACAUUAUAAGGGGCAGAAUAAUCCCCGAACUGGCUCGAGGCAAGAGGCAGUCUACCCUCUACCUCUAGAAAAAAAAAAUGCAUAAUUUUUGAGUAACUGAGAAUGCAUUAUUUUCUUUUGUUUGUUGAUUAAGAGGGGAGGAAAUGUUAUGUAUGUAAUAUCCUUAUUUCCCCAUUGUGCCUGCGGGUGGCACUGCCACUUGUAAUUGUUAGUUGUGUUCCUUAAAGAAAUAAAUCCAGAAGAAGAACAGUACCCCUGAAUCUUGGUUGUGUUAUUUGAACGUGGUUUAACCCAAGAGUUUUA
Cyprinus carpio carpio is the source of this 1949-nucleotide long non-coding RNA. The record is from Ensembl. Lineage: Eukaryota; Metazoa; Chordata; Actinopteri; Cypriniformes; Cyprinidae.